CUAAGGAUGGUAACUAAUAAGUAAUGAUUGUAUUUGUGUUCUUUUAUUCAUUUUUGUUUUUAGCUCAAACUUUGAAUCUACAAGCUCAGUUACUGGAAAAAAAACAAGUUAGAACUGGACACUUUCCAAACAGUGAAGAAGGUUUUUCCAAACUCAUUCCUAACUGAACGUGAGGAUGAGUUGGCAUUAGGCAUACACAGUCAGUUAUUCAGUCCACCAUCAGACACUGUGUUAAAUUUAAAUUCUGUUAGUGCUGCACUAAAAGAUUUGUUGUAAUCAGUCCAUGCAGUGAUGGAACUGAACAAUUGUGGGACUGUAUUUGGGCUGAAAAUUGGUGUGGUACGGAAACCCAGAAAUUGCACGAGUUCAACAUAAAACAUGGAUUAGAAUUUUAGCGGGGGGUCAAGUCUGGAAGUAUUACAGGAUGGAAGAGUCAGCCUGUAGUUGAAAAAACACUGAGAGUGCAUUACCAUUAAGGUGAGAGGUAAAGUAAUAGAGUUAUGCAUAUUGUCUAAUGAGAAGUACCAUCUUGUGUUAAUGAAUCCGGUACA
Long non-coding RNA from Daphnia carinata, 551 nucleotides. RefSeq lists it as uncharacterized. The transcript is spliced from 3 exons. NCBI's taxonomy places the organism in Eukaryota, Metazoa, Arthropoda, Branchiopoda, Diplostraca, Daphniidae. The record is from RefSeq and is a predicted model, not a curated record.